GAUGAACGCUGGCGGCGUGCCUAAUACAUGCAAGUCGAGCGAACGGACGAGAAGUUUGCUUCUCUGAUGUUAGCGGCGGACGGGUGAGUUACAUGUGGAUAACUCCCCUAUAAGACUGGGACCACUUCGGGAAACGGUUGCUAACACCGGCUGACUAUUUGAACCACCUGGUUCAAAUGGGAACGACGGUCUUGCUGUUACCCAUUGAUGGAUCCGCGCUGCAUUAGCUAGUUGGUAAGGUAACGGCCUACCAAGGCAACGAUGCAUAGCCGACCUGAGAGGGUGAUCGGCCACACUGGAACUGAGACACGGUCCAGACUCCUACGGGAGGCAGCAGUAGGGAAUCUUGCGCAAUGGGCGAAAGCCUGACGGAGCAACGCCGCGUGAGUGAUGAAGGUCUUCGGAUCGUAAAGCUCUGUUAUUAGGGAAGAAAAUAUGUGUAAGUAACUGUGCACAGCAUGACGGUACCUGAUCAGAAAGCCACGGCUAACUACGUG
This 497-nucleotide ribosomal RNA is filed under the name uncultured bacterium. RNAcentral's name for it is "partial 16S ribosomal RNA". It matches the Rfam family "Bacterial small subunit ribosomal RNA", at positions 28 to 507 of the family's 1533-position model. The record is from RNAcentral.